This 460-nucleotide ribosomal RNA is filed under the name uncultured bacterium. Its description in RNAcentral is "partial 16S ribosomal RNA". It matches the Rfam family "Bacterial small subunit ribosomal RNA", at positions 338 to 795 of the family's 1533-position model. The record is from RNAcentral.
CCUACGGGUGGCAGCAGUGAGGAAUAUUGGUCAAUGGGCGUAAGCCUGAACCAGCCAAGUCGCGUGAGGGAUGAAGGUUCUAUGGAUCGUAAACCUCUUUUAUAAGGGAAUAAAGUAUGGUACGUGUACUGUCUUGUAUGUACCUUAUGAAUAAGGAUCGGCUAACUCCGUGCCAGCAGCCGCGGUAAUACGGAGGAUCCGAGCGUUAUCCGGAUUUAUUGGGUUUAAAGGGUGCGUAGGCGGACUUUUAAGUCAGCGGUGAAAGUCUGUGGCUCAACCGUAGAAUUGCAGUUGAAACUGGGAGUCUUGAGUAUGUUAGAGGCAGGCGGAAUUCGUGGUGUAGCGGUGAAAUGCUUAGAUAUCACGAAGAACCCCGAUUGCGAAGGCAGCCCACUAAGCCAUGACUGACGCUGAUGCACGAAAGCGUGGGGAUCAAACAGGAUUAGAUACCCUGGUAGUC